CAGCAGCAGCCACGGUAAUACGUAGGGUGCAAGCGUUGUCCGGAAUUAUUGGGCGUAAAGAGCUCGUAGGCGGUUUGUCGCGUCUGCUGUGAAAUCCCGAGGCUCAACCUCGGGCUUGCAGUGGGUACGGGCAGACUAGAGUGCGGUAGGGGAGAUUGGAAUUCCUGGUGUAGCGGUGGAAUGCGCAGAUAUCAGGAGGAACACCGAUGGCGAAGGCAGAUCUCUGGGCCGUAACUGACGCUGAGGAGCGAAAGCGUGGGGAGCGAACAGGAUUAGAUACCCCUGUAGUCCCUGUCUCUUAACA
This 304-nucleotide ribosomal RNA is filed under the name uncultured bacterium. RNAcentral describes it as "partial 16S ribosomal RNA". It matches the Rfam family "Bacterial small subunit ribosomal RNA", at positions 506 to 808 of the family's 1533-position model. The record is from RNAcentral.